UACGUAGGGUGCAAGCGUUGUCCGGAAUUAUUGGGCGUAAAGAGCUCGUAGGCGGUCUGUCGCGUCGAUCGUGAAAACUUGGGGCUUAACCCUGAGCUUGCGGUCGAUACGGGCAUGACUGGAGUUCGGCAGGGGAGACUGGAAUUCCUGGUGUAGCGGUGAAAUGCGCAGAUAUCAGGAGGAACACCGGUGGCGAAGGCGGGUCUCUGGGCCGAUACUGACGCUGAGGAGCGAAGCGUGGGGAGCAAACAGG
Molecule: ribosomal RNA, 253 nt
Filed under: uncultured bacterium
Lineage: Bacteria
Description: partial 16S ribosomal RNA
Rfam family: Bacterial small subunit ribosomal RNA
Source: RNAcentral